This 495-nucleotide ribosomal RNA is filed under the name uncultured bacterium. Its description in RNAcentral is "partial 16S ribosomal RNA". It matches the Rfam family "Bacterial small subunit ribosomal RNA", at positions 28 to 507 of the family's 1533-position model. The record is from RNAcentral.
GACGAACGCUGGCGGCGUGCCUAAUACAUGCAAGUAGAACGCUGAAGGAGGAGCUUGCUCUUCUGGGUGAGUUGCGAACGGGUGAGUAACGCGUAGGUAACCUGCCUGGUAGCGGGGGAUAACUAUUGGAAACGAUAGCUAAUACCGCAUAAGAGUAGAUGUUGCAUGACAUUUACUUAAAAGGUGCAAUUGCAUCACUACCAGAUGGACCUGCGUUGUAUUAGCUAGUUGGUGGGGUAACGGCUUACCAAGGCGACGAUACACAGCCGACCUGAGAGGGUGAUCGGCCACACUGGGACUGAGACACGGCCCAGACUCCUACGGGAGGCAGCAGUAGGGAAUCUUCGGCAAUGGACGGAAGUCUGACCGAGCAACGCCGCGUGAGUGAAGAAGGUUUUCGGAUCGUAAAGCUCUGUUGUAAGAGAAGAACGAGUGUGAGAGUGGAAAGUUCACACUGUGACGGUAUCUUACCAGAAAGGGACGGCUAACUACGUG